UACGAAGGGUGCAAGCGUUAAUCGGAAUUACUGGGCGUAAAGGGUGCGUAGGCGGUUCGUUAAGUCUGUUGUGAAAGCCCUGGGCUCAACCUGGGAAUUGCAGUGGAUACUGGGCGACUAGAGUGUGGUAGAGGGUAGUGGAAUUCCUGGUGUAGCAGUGAAAUGCGUAGAGAUCAGGAGGAACAUCCAUGGCGAAGGCAGCUACCUGGACCAACACUGACACUGAGGCACGAAAGCGUGGGGAGCAAACAGG
Molecule: ribosomal RNA, 253 nt
Filed under: uncultured bacterium
Lineage: Bacteria
Description: partial 16S ribosomal RNA
Rfam family: Bacterial small subunit ribosomal RNA
Source: RNAcentral